AGCUGAGGGAUAGCUCAGUAGAGCAUGAGACUCGGUAGAGCAUGAGACUCUGAAUCUCAGGGUUGUGGGUUUGAGUCCCAUUUUGGGUG
Podarcis lilfordi (Lilford's wall lizard) is the source of this 89-nucleotide non-coding RNA. The record is from the annotation of a GenBank genome assembly. NCBI's taxonomy places the organism in Eukaryota, Metazoa, Chordata, Lepidosauria, Squamata, Lacertidae.